CAGGCCGUUYUGGGUGUMUAAAACCAACCCAAARAAAGGSCCGGCAAARCCCGGKCCCRCCCCCCGCGUUAUUCCGGSCGGCUCGAGUGGUGCCCACUUUUAUUGGCUCAAAAGCKUUGGUASUGGGGUGKUUAAGUUUYUKGGAAAUUYGGCAAGUUUAMCGUCCGGGGUUUUAAGAGAUACUGGCCAUUUAGGAACCCGGGAGAGGUGAGGGGUACUUCGGGGGUAGGAGUGAAAUCCUGUAAUCCUCGAGGGACCACCUGUGGCGAAGGCGCCUCACCAGAACGGCUUCGACAGUGAGGGACGAAAGCUGGGGGAGCAAACCGKAUUAGAUACCCGGGUAGUCCCAGCCGUAAACGAUGCGCGUUA
This 369-nucleotide ribosomal RNA is filed under the name uncultured Methanomicrobia archaeon. RNAcentral describes it as "partial 16S ribosomal RNA". It matches the Rfam family "Archaeal small subunit ribosomal RNA", at positions 402 to 769 of the family's 1478-position model. The record is from RNAcentral. Lineage: Archaea; Methanobacteriati; Methanobacteriota; Methanomicrobia.